Molecule: small nuclear RNA, 166 nt
Organism: Cricetulus griseus (Chinese hamster)
Lineage: Eukaryota; Metazoa; Chordata; Mammalia; Rodentia; Cricetidae
Gene: U1
Rfam family: U1 spliceosomal RNA
About the family: U1 is a small nuclear RNA (snRNA) component of the spliceosome (involved in pre-mRNA splicing). Its 5' end forms complementary base pairs with the 5' splice junction, thus defining the 5' donor site of an intron. There are significant differences in sequence and secondary structure between metazoan and yeast U1 snRNAs, the latter being much longer (568 nucleotides as compared to 164 nucleotides in human).
Source: Ensembl
AUGCAUAUGUGGCAGAUGAGAGCCCAAGAUCACAAACGUGACUCUCUCUCUCAGUGAGGCUCAUCCAUUGCACUUCUGACAUGCUGAUCUCUGUGUUUUCCUCAAAUGGAAUAAACUCAAUGGCAUAAUUUGUGGUAGUGCAGGACUGUGUUUACACUUUCUUCUG